This 374-nucleotide long non-coding RNA is filed under the name Physcomitrium patens. Its description in RNAcentral is "long non-coding RNA (PPAT_LNC004145)". Lineage: Eukaryota; Viridiplantae; Streptophyta; Bryopsida; Funariales; Funariaceae. The record is from RNAcentral.
AACAAUAAAGUUGUGAACUAAAGAUAUCUCUUAUAGAUGUAGCUUCUAAGGAACUAAACCAUGUACAUAUUGUGUUUGUGAAUAUCUGAUUUUUUAUUGUUGUUUUAUAUUAUAAUUGUGUGAUUUUUUUUGUAAUAUACAUCAUUGUUUCAAAAUAUAAUUGAACUUUCUAUUAUUUAAGAUUACAUCACAACUUGCCAUAUUCUCACUUCUAUAAUACAAGAUUGUGUAAUUCUUCAUGUUAUUGGUAUUUUUGAAACUCAAGCUAUCUAGAAAUAAUAACAAACAUUGUAUGAUAUAUAAAACUGAAAUAAAAAGUCUGCUUUAAGAAAAAAAAUAUAUGCUUUUUGUUUAUUAGAAAAAAAAAAUAUAAG